This 181-nucleotide ribosomal RNA is filed under the name uncultured bacterium. RNAcentral's name for it is "partial 16S ribosomal RNA". It matches the Rfam family "Bacterial small subunit ribosomal RNA", at positions 337 to 508 of the family's 1533-position model. The record is from RNAcentral.
UCCUACGGGGAGGCAGCAGUAGGGAAUUUUCGUCAAUGGGGGGGAACCCUGAACGAGCAAUGCCGCGUGAGUGAGGAAGGUCUUCGGAUCGUAAAGCUCUGUUGUAAGAGAAAAACGGCACUCAUAGGGAAUGAUGAGUGAGUGAUGGUAUCUUACCAGAAAGUCACGGCUAACUACGUGC